AGGAUAAACGCUGGCGGCGUGCAUGAGACAUGCAAGUCGAACGGACACUCGGGGCUUGCUCCGAGUGUUAGUGGCGGACGGCUGAGUAACGCGUAGGUGACCUGCCCCGAAGUGGGGAAUAACUGCCCGAAAGGGUGGCUAAUACCGCAUGUGGUGGUGUGUUCAUUCACACCAGUAAAGCCGCAAGGCGCUUCGGGAGGGGCCUGCGUCCGAUUAGCUCGUUGGUGGGGUAACGGCUCACCAAGGCGACGAUCGGUAGGUGGUCUGAGAGGACGAUCACCCAGACUGGGACUGAGACACGGCCCAGACUCCUACGGGAGGCAGCAGUCGGGAAUUUUGCGCAAUGGACGAAAGUCUGACGCAGCAACGCCGCGUGAGGGAUGAAGGCCUUCGGGUUGUAAACCUCUUUUAUCUAGGGAAGAUAAUGACGGUACCUGAUGAAUAAGACACGGCUAACUACGUGCCAGCAGCCGC
RNAcentral lists this ribosomal RNA (474 nucleotides) under uncultured bacterium. RNAcentral's name for it is "SSU rRNA". It matches the Rfam family "Bacterial small subunit ribosomal RNA", at positions 26 to 518 of the family's 1533-position model. The record is from RNAcentral.